UGGGGAAUAUUGGACAAUGGGCGAAAGCCUGAUCCAGCCAUGCCGCGUGUGUGAAGAAGGCCUUAUGGUUGUAAAGCACUUUAAGCGAGGAGGAGGGUACUGGUAUUAAUACUACCAGGUACUGGACGUUACUCGCAGAAUAAGCACCGGCUAACUCUGUGCCAGCAGCCGCGGUAAUACAGAGGGUGCGAGCGUUAAUCGGAUUUACUGGACGUAAAGCGUGCGUAGGCGGCUUUUUAAGUCGGAUGUGAAAUCCCCGAGCUUAACUUGGGAAUUGCAUUCGAUACUGGGAAGCUAGAGUAUGGGAGAGGAUGGUAGAAUUCCAGGUGUAGCGGUGAAAUGCGUAGAGAUCUGGAGGAAUACCGAUGGCGAAGGCAGCCAUCUGGCCUAAUACUGACGCUGAGGUACGAAAGCAUGGGGAGCAAACAGG
This 430-nucleotide ribosomal RNA is filed under the name Pseudomonadota bacterium. RNAcentral's name for it is "Proteobacteria bacterium partial 16S ribosomal RNA". It matches the Rfam family "Bacterial small subunit ribosomal RNA", at positions 355 to 776 of the family's 1533-position model. The record is from RNAcentral. Lineage: Bacteria; Pseudomonadati; Pseudomonadota.